UAUAAGAGGAGUUCUGUACAGAAAUAAUUAAAUAAUUACAUCAUAUGAGGAAACGAUCCAGCAACCCAAAGUUGACUGGGAGACGACGGCCUAGACCUCUCACGAACUCAUCGCAACAUCCUCCAUGAGCAUCAUCCUGCAGUACCUGGUCUUGACCUGAGGUGUAUGUGAGACAGCAAGAGUGAGCUCACAUACGUUCAUCGCUCAACAAGUUGUGGGGAAUAAUGUGCAUGAACUCGCCAAAGGUGGGAGCUCACGUGAAGUGUAAGGCUUACCAAAGAAAAUGGUUAGAGCUGAGCAUUGCUUUUAAAGUUGGUCAAAAUUUUAUUAGCAGUUACUAAGUAUAAGUGAAUACCAAUCCCAAUUAAGUAGUAGAACAAAAAUAACAACUUCACCCGCGAUGCAAUGCAUAUGACAAAUUGAAUUUAGUUCCAUAAUUUAAUCAUCAGAGAGUCCUGAGCUGCUCAUGACCGUGAGCUCGGCUAGUAUACCAGUUUUACACUCUGCAGAGGUGGUACCCUUUACCCACAAGUCAUGUUACCCAUCUGCCAAGAGAUCGCGACUUCCCAUACACCUCUACCGAGGAGGCGAGGCAGGGUAACACUACGAGGCCUUUACAAAGUUCCACUAGCUUCAGAAAACCCGCUACAGUUUAUAGGAAGCUCCAAUGCAGGAAUCCCUUGCAGGACCGCCAUCACAGCAAAAUCCUCCCGAGGGCCUCCCCAGGAAUCCCUUGCAGGACCGCCAUCACAGCAAAAUCCUCCCGAGGGCCUUCCCAGGAAUCCCUUGCAGGACCGCCAUCACAGCAAAAUCCUCCCGAGGGCCUCCCUACACUGACCACUCCCCUACUGCCCUUGCCCCUUUCGGGUAAGGUAGUCCUCCACUAGCUUUCCUAAUUAGUCAGCCAAGGGCGUCCCAUUAAACCCUUGUGGUGGCACGUGGUUCUCAAGUUAAGCUCUAUGUUCCAAUUAACAUUUAAUGAUCUUGUCAUGAACAUAAAUAGAAUAACAACAUAAUUGGAACAUAGAUGCAAUGAAAUAUUAACCCAAAACCAUAUAAAGCAGUAGCAGAACUACCCAAGUGAUUGAGGGGUAAACAAGGUAUUCAGGAUGAACAAACUAGGGUGACCUAUUGGGUCCCAUCAAAAUUAACCUAUGCAGAUCAUUAUGAUUAAUCAGAACAUGAGUGGGUAAAAGAAGUGAUCAAGGGCACAACUUGCCUGAGACUUGAGAUUCCAGGUACCAGGAUGAUCUUCAGGUGACUCGUGACCUCGCGCUAGUCGUAGCAAUACAGACAAACAUGGUAUAUGCAAAAUUAACAUAACACCAAACAUAAGAACAAACUGAAUAAUAAUGACCUACGCGUUGCUACGAGACUAACGCAGCUGGAACGAGUCAAAUCGGAUUUAAAACGGGGGAAUUAUGUAUUUUGCACAAUAUUAAGUAGGAUAUAAAUUUUAAUGUGACUUUCAUGUGAAAACAGUGACACUAGGUGAUAAACAACAUUAUUACAAAAUUAUAGGAAUUAGAAUGGAUCAAUUUGGGCUCAAUAUGAAUUUUCUAUGAAUUUUAUAAGUUCUAGCCAUUAUUUUCCUAUUAAAAAUCCCUUUUCCAAUUUAUUUACUCAAUUUCACACAGCUCUGGAUCGGGCCUCAUUAUCUGGAAAACACAGGGGUCUCGGGGUAAGUUUUCCUGAGACACAGAAAACAAUUCUACGGACCGCGGGUUGAUUACUAUAGAACAGAGGGGCCUAAUAGCUAAACCGUCCAGCCGAAGGGGUACGGGCGGACGCUGACCGUCCGAUCACAAACCGACGCGCAAGAUUAGAUUAUCGCGUUAUAAAACAGAUAAUCCGCCCCGAUCGUCCGAUCCAGAAUCAACGGACGAAGGUCGAUCCUACCCCGAUCUAAUCUAACCCGCCCACCAUGAAUCCUACGGACACGGUUUACUUGAGCAAAGGUUACCCUAUCCUCUAAUCUCGAUCGUCAGCGCCGGAUCCAACGGACCACGGAGUUCUUCUUCCCCACGGCGGAUGAAUACGGCCGCGCCCACCUCGCACGGCGGCGGUCCCGCCGGGGACUCCCAUAUCGCGCACCCGAACCCAAAAACGGCCACGGUCGGCCCAAAGCGUAGCAGGGAAAGAGGCGAAUUCGUUGGAGGUUCUUACCAAGCGUUCGGUGUGGCCGAGAACUCUGGCCACGACAAGGUGCUACCCGGCGGCGCCGAGACCCCGGUGGGAAAUUCCUGGCACCCAGGUCGCAAGCCCAGUCGGUAGAAGCCCCAACCCGUUUGGCGUGUCCAAUCGAAGCGACAGGCAAGGACGAUUCUGAGGUACCGGGCACGGCGCGACGACAACCCCUCCAAGCGGCGCUCCAAAGCUCCCGAUUCCACCCUGCUUGCUUGUCGCCAGCGAGGUCACGAACGAAGCGCCGAUGAUGCGGAUCCAGGGUAACGGGCUUAGUUUUAUAGUGCUACGGCGGAGUCCGACCGGUGAGGUCCUGCGGAUUAAGCGCGGUUCGGUGCAACGACCCGCGAGCUCCGCUUCAGGGAGGAAGAACGGCGAGCUGCGCGGCAACCACGCGGGUUGUUACGCGUUGGAGCCGGGAAGAAGCACAGUAGACCAGAGGUCUCCACGUGCGGGCCCGAUCGGUCACAGUCACAAGCACGCGCACAGGCAAGUGGCUGGCGGCGCUAGGGUAAGGCACGACAAUGGGCCAGCGCAGGGAGAAAAAUGGAGAUGGGCCAGCGCGAGGAGAAUUCGGCCCAAACGGCGAUUUUCUUUUUUUUUUCCUUUUAUUUUCUGUUUCCAUUUCCUUUUCCUUUAUUUUUUUUUCAUAUUUGAAUUCUUAAAUUUGAAUCCAAAUUUGAUUGCAAACUUUGAAUUUGAACUAGAUGUACUAGUCCAAGAUGUUGAUAUGAAAUGUCACGUUUAUUUAUAUAUUUUCCUUACAUUGUAUAUAGGGCUUUUCCUAUUUUCCUCUUCACCUUCUAUAUCUUAUUUCUCAAAUUAUUGGUUCCCAAAAUUAGGUUUAAUGUCUCUUCCACCAUUUGCAUAUUUCUUUUAUCAUUAUCUUCAUGAGUGAAUGCACAAACAAAUAAAUCACAGCAUGAUGCACAAAUUACUUUAAGUGUCACUAAUUAAUUAAUGACUUUUGAGGUGUUGGUUCACAUGUUACAAUAAACAUAGGCAAAAUCAUGUAUGUAACUCAACUAUGCUUUCAUCUUACAUUUUGGGUAUUACAAAUCCUACCCCCCUUAACAGAAAUCUCGUCCCCGAGAUUUGUAAGAAAAGGGAAUACAAUAGGUUUGGUUUAGAAUUUUAGUUUCUCAUUGGGUUUUGGAAAUCAAAGUUUUGUUCAAGUUUUUUUUUUCAUAACAGUUAGUAGACGAUUUAGAAUAUAUGGAUAUUGUAUGUCUACCCAUCUAUUAGGUCAGAUGAGGUACGAUUAUGGCAAGUAGGUGUUGUGGCAAGGGUAUAAUAAGGAAAGACUUCAUCCUAAACUACGGAUCUUGAUUCCGCUGGCGAUUCAACUUGAUCUUUGAAGUCUUGAGUUGAUGCUUAUCCUUUUUUGACAUGGUUGGUCUUCUUUGGCCUUUAUUUCUUGGAGUUGUCAUCCGAGUUAAGGACAUAUGGCUAGGACAUAUGUGAGUAGGAUGGAUUGUAUGGUGUAGGUAGGUUAGAAUCUCUUGCUAGGUUAAAAUUGUGGGGUUAUGCAACUAUUGGAUGGUUAAGGUAGUUGCAUAUGGCCAAGUCGAUCUGUCACUCUUAAUUUAGUGCAGGGUGAACUAAGUUAAGACUCGUUCUAUAGGAGUAGAGUCUAAUCUAUUUCAUUAGUAUUAUCUAACAUGUUUGAUAAGUCACUUUAGAUUAGAUCAGAUCUAGGUUAGAUUGGUGUGACUAGUUUGACUAGAUAAGAUCUUAUUUAUUUUAGGCUAGAUCAUGGUUGUUACACUAGCGUGGGAUAAAUAUGCUUAUUGGGGUAAGAUGAAUCCAUAAGGAUAAGGUAGAAUCUUUUGAGGUCAGAUAGAUCUAUUAGGAUAGGAUAAAUCUUUUCAAGAUAAGACGAGAAUCUAUUUUUUUUAGGAUAAGAUGGAUCUAUGAGUGUAGGAUAGACUUUUUCAAGAUAAGAUGGAUUUUGCUAGGCUAGAUUCUUUGAUGAGGGAUAACCUAGUUCAUUUAGAUAUUUUUAUAACCGUUUUUUUUCUAUAUGUAUAUGCAGAUGUGAUUGUGGACAUUACUCCACAACUAAUCACACUCAAUCAAAGAUUCAAACAAGUAUCAUAAGAACAAACAUUCAAGCAUACAAAUACCUUAAAAAUAGUUUUGUUUUUGUUCCUAAGAGUAGGUCUCCUAUUCCUAAAGUCACUUUAGGCACAGGAUUUCAAAGUGUGAAAUCCACAUUUGUCUUUUAGAAAGAAAAGAUAAGAAUAAUCAGAGUAAAGCGGAAAUAGAUGUGAAAAGAUUAAGAAAAGUUUAGAAAGAAUCAGAGUAGCAAAGGUAAGUAGAUAAUGGUUGUCCAGUUCUAUCUAGGUUUCGUCCUACAGUCAACAUUGCUCUGAUACCACUUCUGUCACACCCGGAUUUUAGGGGUCAAAAACCCGGGCGCGAACAUAAACACCAGGUGUGCUGGGACCAAGUCUCACACAUAUGAUGCAUAGUGGCACAGGAUCGAAUGUCACAUCUUUACUAUAUAAGAGGAGUUCUGUACAGAAAUAAUUAAAUAAUUACAUCAUAUAAGGAAACGAUCCAGCAACCCAAAGUUGACUGGGAGACGACGGCCUAGACCUCUCACGAACUCAUCGCAACAUCCUCCAUGAGCAUCAUCCUGCAGUACCUGGUCUUGACCUGAGGUGUAUGUGAGACAGCAAGAGUGAGCUCACAUACGUUCAUCGCUCAACAAGUUGUGGGGAAUAAUGUGCAUGAACUCGCCAAAGGUGGGAGCUCACGUGAAGUGUAAGGCUUACCAAAGAAAAUGGUUAGAGCUGAGCAUUGCUUUUAAAGUUGGUCAAAAUUUUAUUAGCAGUUACUAAGUAUAAGUGAAUAUCAAUCCCAAUUAAGUAGUAGAACAAAAAUAACAACUUCACCCGCGAUGCAAUGCAUAUGACAAAUUGAAUUUAGUUCCAUAAUUUAAUCAUCAGAGAGUCCUGAGCUGCUCAUGACCGUGAGCUCGGCUAGUAUACCAGUUUUACACUCUGCAGAGGUGGUACCCUUUACCCACAAGUCAUGUUACCCAUCUGCCAAGAGAUCGCGACUUCCCAUACACCUCUACCGAGGAGGCGAGGCAGGGUAACACUACGAGGCCUUUACAAAGUUCCACUAGCUUCAGAAAACCCGCUACAGUUUAUAGGAAGCUCCAAUGCAGGAAUCCCUUGCAGGACCGCCAUCACAGCAAAAUCCUCCCGAGGGCCUCCCCAGGAAUCCCUUGCAGGACCGCCAUCACAGCAAAAUCCUCCCGAGGGCCUUCCCAGGAAUCCCUUGCAGGACCGCCAUCACAGCAAAAUCCUCCCGAGGGCCUCCCUACACUGACCACUCCCCUACUGCCCUUGCCCCUUUCGGGUAAGGUAGUCCUCCACUAGCUUUCCUAAUUAGUCAGCCAAGGGCGUCCCAUUAAACCCUUGUGGUGGCACGUGGUUCUCAAGUUAAGCUCUAUGUUCCAAUUAACAUUUAAUGAUCUUGUCAUGAACAUAAAUAGAAUAACAACAUAAUUGGAACAUAGAUGCAAUGAAAUAUUAACCCAAAACCAUAUAAAGCAGUAGCAGAACUACCCAAGUGAUUGAGGGGUAAACAAGGUAUUCAGGAUGAACAAACUAGGGUGACCUAUUGGGUCCCAUCAAAAUUAACCUAUGCAGAUCAUUAUGAUUAAUCAGAACAUGAGUGGGUAAAAGAAGUGAUCAAGGGCACAACUUGCCUGAGACUUGAGAUUCCAGGUACCAGGAUGAUCUUCAGGUGACUCGUGACCUCGCGCUAGUCGUAGCAAUACAGACAAACAUGGUACAUGCAAAAUUAACAUAACACCAAACAUAAGAACAAACUGAAUAAUAAUGACCUACGCGUUGCUACGAGACUAACGCAGCUGGAACGAGUCAAAUCGGAUUUAAAACGGGGGAAUUAUGUAUUUUGCACAAUAUUAAGUAGGAUAUAAAUUUUAAUGUGACUUUCAUGUGAAAACAGUGACACUAGGUGAUAAACAACAUUAUUACAAAAUUAUAGGAAUUAGAAUGGAUC
This 6225-nucleotide long non-coding RNA is filed under the name Zea mays. RNAcentral's name for it is "long non-coding RNA (ZMAY_LNC004112)". Lineage: Eukaryota; Viridiplantae; Streptophyta; Magnoliopsida; Poales; Poaceae. The record is from RNAcentral.